AUUGAACGCUGGCGGCAGGCCUAACACAUGCAAGUCGAGCGGAUGAAGGGAGCUUGCUUCUUGAUUCAGCGGCGGACGGGUGAGUAAUGCCUAGGAAUCUGCCUGGCAGUGGGGGAUAACGUGCGGAAACGGGCGCUAAUACCGCACACGUCCUGAGGGGGAAAGUGGGGGAUCUUCGGACCUCACGCUAUCAGGUGAGCCUAGGUCGGAUUAGCUAGUUGGUGGGGUAAAGGCCUACCAAGGCGACGAUCCGUAACUGGUCUGAGAGGAUGAUCAGUCACACUGGAACUGAGACACGGUCCAGACUCCUACGGGAGGCAGCAGUGGGGAAUAUUGGACAAUGGGCGAAAGCCUGAUCCAGCCAUGCCGCGUGGGUGAAGAAGGUCUUCGGAUUGUAAAGCACUUUAAGUUGGGAGGAAAAGCAGUAAGUUAAUACCUUGCUGUUCUGACGUUACCAACAGAAUAAGCACCGGCUAACUUCGUG
This 484-nucleotide ribosomal RNA is filed under the name uncultured bacterium. Its description in RNAcentral is "partial 16S ribosomal RNA". It matches the Rfam family "Bacterial small subunit ribosomal RNA", at positions 30 to 507 of the family's 1533-position model. The record is from RNAcentral.